UACGGAGGGUGCAAGCGUUAUCCGGAUUCACUGGGUUUAAAGGGUGCGUAGGUGGGCAAGUAAGUCAGUGGUGAAAUCUCCGGGCUUAAUCCGGAAACUGCCAUUGAUACUAUUUGUCUUGAAUACUGUGGAGGUCAGCGGAAUAUGUCAUGUAGCGGUGAAAUGCUUAGAUAUGACAUAGAACACCAAUUGCGAAGGCAGCUGGCUACACAAAUAUUGACACUGAGGCACGAAAGCGUGGGGAUCAAACAGG
RNAcentral lists this ribosomal RNA (253 nucleotides) under uncultured bacterium. RNAcentral's name for it is "partial 16S ribosomal RNA". It matches the Rfam family "Bacterial small subunit ribosomal RNA", at positions 524 to 776 of the family's 1533-position model. The record is from RNAcentral.